GACGAACGCUGGCGGCGUGCUUAACACAUGCAAGUCGAACGAAGAGCGAUGGAAGCUUGCUUCUAUCACUCUUAGUGGCGAACGGGUGAGUAACGCGUAAUCAACCUGCCCUUCAGAGGGGGACAACAGUUGGAAACGACUGCUAAUACCGCAUACGAUCUAAUCUCGGCAUCGAGGAAAGAUGAAAGGUGGCCUCUAUUUAUAAGCUAUCACUGAAGGAGGGGAUUGCGUCUGAUUAGCUAGUUGGAGGGGUAACGGCCCACCAAGGCGAUGAUCAGUAGCCGGUCUGAGAGGAUGAACGGCCACAUUGGGACUGAGACACGGCCCAGACUCCUACGGGAGGCAGCAGUGGGGAAUCUUCCGCAAUGGACGAAAGUCUGACGGAGCAACGCCGCGUGAGUGAUGACGGCCUUCGGGUUAUAAAGCUCUGUUAAUCGGGACGAAAGGCCUUCUUGCGAACAGUUAGAAGGAUUGACGGUACCGGAAUAGAAAGCCACGGCUAACUACGUG
Molecule: ribosomal RNA, 510 nt
Filed under: uncultured bacterium
Lineage: Bacteria
Description: partial 16S ribosomal RNA
Rfam family: Bacterial small subunit ribosomal RNA
Source: RNAcentral